AUGCUGCUACCUGCUCCAGAAGGCGUCCGGUGGCCGCUCCGCAGUUUCAGAGCAAGUUUCAGAUGUCCAGACUCCAAGUACCAGUUCCUUCCCAGUGUUCAGCCACUGUGUUGAUCCUCCACGGGGGCCUGCCACACACUGCUCUGGCAAGGCGUCCCACCGGGGCAAAUGCCUACCUGGGAGUGCUCUCAGGAUCCACGUUGCUCGGGCUGGCCAGAGUCCCCCACCGGAAUGUUCCACAGGGCAGGCUUAAGUCACCUAAGGAGCUGCCUCGACCAUCCACCAAUCACCUCACUUCCCAGUCAGGGAACCAGGAAAUGUAGCAGGACAAGCUGCAGACA
Molecule: long non-coding RNA, 341 nt
Filed under: Homo sapiens (human)
Lineage: Eukaryota; Metazoa; Chordata; Mammalia; Primates; Hominidae
Description: long non-coding RNA NONHSAT034430.2
Source: RNAcentral